Molecule: non-coding RNA, 3133 nt
Organism: Nicotiana tabacum (common tobacco)
Lineage: Eukaryota; Viridiplantae; Streptophyta; Magnoliopsida; Solanales; Solanaceae
Source: RefSeq, a predicted model, not a curated record
AAAAAAAACCGUAGAACCCUUCUUCCCCUCUCACCCCAGCGCCGUUCCCUCCCCUCCAAAAAAAAAUAAUACCUAACCUAGUGGCCCCUUUCAUCUUCUCCAAACGAACGACCCCUCCUUUCUGAAGAACACCUAAUGGCACCCCCUCUCUUCUUCUUCCUCACUUCUAACCUAGAAACACACGAGAACAGACCCUCAUCACCAAAAGCAACUCCAACUCCUUCCCAAACCACCACGAAACAUCACCCAAAACAACUCCAAACUCUAGCUCGAAAAAACCUCCAAAAACUCACUCAAAAUAGUAAAUCAAAGGAAAAAUGGGAUAGACAAGAAUUUCGGGAUUGACUUCACUUUCUGCUGGUUUGGUGUCGAUUUCGGGUUCGGUAGAAAGAUAUGGAUUUUAACUUGACAGGAGGGGUUGCUGUGAUGAUAAGCAACCUCCAGUUCCAACCAAGAGGUUGUGAGUUCGAGUCACCCCAACAGCAAGGUGGGAAGUUCUUGGAGGGAAGGAUGCCGAGGGUGUAUUGAAAAUAGCCUCUCUACCCUAGGAUAGGGUAAGGUCUGCGCAGUGUUGUAAAUAGCGCUCGCCUCAGCACUAAUAGUGUGAGGCGAGGCAAUGCUAGUUGCCAUCGCUAUUUUAUAGUAUGGCAUAGCGUUUUCAAAAAGGCGAGCGCCUCUGCCUUUGUAGCGUGUGGCGACCUGUAGUGUGAGGCGAGCUGUAGCGUCGCUUUUUGCAAAAAAGAAAAGAAGGCAGUAGCAGCGAUCUUCUAAAACAAAAAAUUAGGGCUCGCGAUUUCUUUACUCGUUCUCCUUCAAGUCGACAGCAAACUUACAACAGACCAGCGAUUUCCUUUCUUCUUUCUUCAAAGUAUGCCUUAUUACUACUGAAUUAACAAAAGGCAAGAGAUCAGAAUUUUGAGGUAGAAUCACAGACUGCUUGCUACUGUUAAGCUCAUCUUGAAAGAAAAUCUUCUACAUUAAUCAUUCUUAAAGAGAUUUGAUCAAAGACUUCAAAGAACUUAAUGAGAAGCAUCAAGAGUGAAGUCGACAUUUUCUGCUAGAACUUAAUUAGAAGGGUUUUGCCAAUGGAUCCCUUGAGGAAGAAAUGCCGAGUGUGCGUACUUCUUAAUCGGGACUGCCUACCUGAUUGCGAGAUGCUGAAUAUCUUCCCAACGGAUGAAUUGCUCUUUAAACUUGGCAGUAUAUGUGACAGAUCAGUGGAGGGUCCUUGGGCUGAACUUGAGAAAAUUGACAAAUCACAAUGGAUAGAGUUUAUGGACUUUAAGUCAACGGUUCAGACUGACUUCAAAAAAUUUCCAGUUUUUGGUCCAUUGCAACGCAUUACAGAUCUUUCCAGACAUAAUGAAGAGUUGACGAGAAAGUUGAACGCACUGAUGAAGAGUUGAUUGAGUUGAAAAAACCGAAGAAGAACUAAACUUGUCAGAAGAGUACGAGACCGCCUGCUUCUACUGCAGCUCCGCCUAUUCCUAGUGCAGCAGGUGUCGAUCUCCGCCUAUUCCUAGUGCAACAGGUGUCGAUAUCACGUCUUCAUCUCAAUUGGAAUGCAGAGAUCUUGAAACCUUAUAUGGCGAAAGGAGCUCACCCUCCUUGCAGGUUUCUUUGAUAACAUCCUAAAGGUUGUGGCUCCUCUUGUGGCUUUUGUUGUGGCUGUUGUUGUAUCAGUUGCAAUAAAAUGAAAAUACAACAAAAUAAAAUUCAUAGAAAACACUUAUGUUAAAAUAAUAGAAUAUUACUUGCACCCUUGAACAUUGACAACUGUCAUUAUCUCAUGUACAAGCAGGGCAACACCUUCUUGCUACUCUGUUUCCUCUUCUUUUGUUUUUUUACGGGGCUCAGCGUCAUCCCCAUACCUUUGCCUUGGGUUGGGCGGCCAAUUCUCAACUCACUUCCCCUUUUCCACCUCCUAGACACAAGGGGCAUGCAGAGAUCUUGAAACCUUAUAUGGUGAAGACGGUUCUGACAGUCAUGUUGAACCGAAGGAAUGCUCAUGUUAUCCCUGUCCUCCCUCUCCCUCCCCCUCCUACUCAUGUUGUCCCUGUUCUCCCUGUCCCUCCCGCUCAUGUUGUCUAGCAGGCACCUGCUCAUCAUUCACGUGCAAACUGGCAAGGGGGAAAUUGUCAUGUUCCUCCGGUUCACCAUGACUGUCAGAACCGUCUUCACCAUAUAAGGUUUCAAGAUCUCUGCAUGCCCCUUGCGCCCAGGAGGUGGAACAAGGGAAGUGAGUUGAGAAUUGGCCGCCCAACCCCAGGGGAUGACGCUGAGCCCUGUAAAAAAACAAAAAGAAGAGGAAACAGAGUAGCAAGAAGGUGUUACCCUGCUUGUACAUGCGAUACUGACAGUUGUCAAUGUUCAGGGUGCAGGUAAUAUUCUGUUAUUUUAACAUAAAUGUUUUCUAUGAAUUGUAUUUUCAUUUUAUUGCAACUGAUACAGCCACAACCUUGAGGAUGUUAUCAAAGAAGCCCGCAAGGAGGGAGAGCUCCUUUCGCCUGCUUAGCGUCUGAACCAAAAAGCAGCAGAAUUAUAGAUUUCUCUACAAUCUUUUCUCUCCGUCUCAUUGUAAAUACGUUCUUCCUUUAUUUGAAUUUUUUUUCCUUUCAAUAUCACAGAAUGCAUUGAAGACAGUGUCAUGGUUCAAUCACUGGUUAACAGUGCAACAAUUGUCUGAUUAUGUUGUAGAUAAGCCAACGGAACUACAAAUCGCUUGUGAUCAGUUGUAUAGACCACAAAAUACCCUUUACCAACUAUGGAAGUUGGUGUGCUACAACUUUCUGCAUCAUGGAAUGAAAAAGCUUGAGGAUAUUUUUGAAGGUUUGAUUGUGCUAUCUGCUUGAUCAAAAUGUGGCUCAUGGGAGCAGUUUAUUUAUAGUUGAGGCUAGAGAAUAAAUUUCAAUUAUAGCUGUGGUUAUCAACCUUAGUUAGGUGUGCUAGGUAGAAUAAUGUGCUGCUGUUGAAUAUUGGACCUACAGCAUUGUGGAUAUCGCUGGUUGUCUAAUUUUUCAGUUCUACCAUUUUGCUCUGUAGUAUAAGAACAAACACAGCCAAGCUUGAUUAGGACUAAUAAAAUGUAACAGACAUCAUGAAAUGGACCUAAGAAUUGUGGUAUUUGUGUUGA